CGGGGGCACGGGGGGCCUACGGGAGGCAGCAGUGGGGAAUAUUGGACAAUGGGCGGAAGCCUGAUCCAGCAACGCCGCGUGAGGGAUGACGGCCUUCGGGUUGUAAACCUCUUUCAGCACAGACGAAGCGAGAGUGACGGUACGGCAGAUASARGYKACGGA
RNAcentral lists this ribosomal RNA (162 nucleotides) under uncultured bacterium. RNAcentral describes it as "partial 16S ribosomal RNA". It matches the Rfam family "Bacterial small subunit ribosomal RNA", at positions 319 to 497 of the family's 1533-position model. The record is from RNAcentral.